AUUUUGCACAAACGGCUUAGAAAAAGCUAAGAGUGCUUUUCGGAGCUUAUUAAGUUAAUGUUUGAUCAUCGCGUCAUACCAUGCACGUUCACAUAUUUACCAUGGUGAUUGCCAUCGCGAGUGGUGCGCUUGCAUCCAAUUCAGAGGAAAGCGAAUGGCACUUCUGUCGCAACGGCUACAAUGUUGUCAAAUAUCACGAAAACAACACAAUCGUCGACGAGUACAAGAUGGAGUCCAAGUUGAACCUGCUGUCUAAUCAUCUGUGGACGAAGAUUCUCAUCGACGUGAAUCACUUCGCUAACAUCGGCGGCUGGCACAAUAGACGGAUUGACGUGUGGAAGCGUUGGCAGACCUACUACGGCCAACAGGACAGCACUACAAGCACGAAUUAAAAUGAUUUUGAUUGAAAAUGUAAUACACACACACACUGUCUGCAACAUACGAUAGUUUAUGUGUAAUGAGUACAUGAAUAUACAAUGUACAUAUCA
Dalotia coriaria is the source of this 488-nucleotide long non-coding RNA. RefSeq lists it as uncharacterized. The record is from RefSeq and is a predicted model, not a curated record. NCBI's taxonomy places the organism in Eukaryota, Metazoa, Arthropoda, Insecta, Coleoptera, Staphylinidae. The transcript is spliced from 2 exons.